Molecule: long non-coding RNA, 1421 nt
Filed under: Capra hircus (goat)
Lineage: Eukaryota; Metazoa; Chordata; Mammalia; Artiodactyla; Bovidae
Description: lncRNA (ENSCHIG00000004373.1)
Source: RNAcentral
AUGGCCCAAGCCGAGCCCAGGGUAGCACUCCAGGUAGUGGAUCUCUCAGCAGGUGGCUGCGGCCCUAGGUAUCGGCUGGCAUCUUCACAUCCCCUAUCGGCCCCAAUCGUCAGGCAAGGUAGAGCGGGUGAACGGCAUCAUCAAGACACAUCUGACCAAGACAGCUGCAGUUCUGAGGCAAGCCUGUCUUGGGUCGACCUCCCUCCUCUGGUGCUCACUCGCAUUCGCACCACACCACACUCCAAAACAGGUUUGACCCCUUUUGAACUGCUCUACGGCAGGCCCUAUCUCCUGACUCACCUCCCCGAGGGAGAGGCUCCCCCACUCAUGGGGUACCUCCCCCUCUUCUCCCUCCUACGAUCCUUGCUGAGGGAACACGCAGAUCGGGUCCUGCCGCAACCAACAGACGACGCAGGGCCCACCCGGCCUCUAGCACCAGGAGAUCAGAGGCUCAACACGGUCCAGCUGAUGGUGCUGCGACAACAGUACCAAGGGCUUCCAACAAGCACUCCGUGGCAAGAUCAACGGCAGACGCCCCCUGUCAUCCCGGCCGUACCCUACCCCUCGUCGCCCCCGUUCAGCAGGAAGUAGCCAGAGAGAGUUGGUGCCCCUUGUCCUAUAUCAAAAAGGCCGGGAUGAAAGGUCAGGGCAAGGUCAGGAUGAAAGGUCAGGGCAAGGUCGGGCGUGUUGAGGCAUGCCUGGGCAUGUCGAGACAUGUCCCGGCAGAGAGUGCUGCAGACACGCCCCAGAGACGGGCCGGCAACCAAGCCGACCAAUCAGGAGCCGACACGAAGCCCUCGCCAUCCAAUCAGGAGCUGACACGGAGCCCUUGGACACCAAUCACCGCUGAGCGUGCAGUUUAUUCCUUACAUGGGAGCCCCGGCCUGGGCUAUAAAACCCUUCCCCACCCUCGCAGACUCCGCAGACUCCCUUUACCCCGCAGACUCCCUUUGCUUCGCAGACCCUCCUCGCUUCCUUGCUUACCCGCCCCCUGGGAGUUCUGCCCAAGAGCGACCGCCCAAUAAAAGGCCCUGAUCAAUGGUCCAUAGGGGUGGCUCCUUCUUCCUGCGGCAUUUCUUACAAUAGGUUCCAGUGUUAGGAAGUGAGUAUAUCUUUCUGGGGGAGGCAGAGCACCAUUCAAUCCACAAUACUAAUCAGAUAAAACUUUUUACCCCUCCUUCUUCCUGUCCUUAUCCUGGAGAGACCUGUCUUCCCUCCUUCUAGGUAACGUUUACCAUGUGGCUAAAUCAUAGAGUCACCCUGCUUCCUUGAACCGUCCCCCAAGUUACCAUAGAGUAAAGGAUCAGCAAAGAAGGCUGCCACUUUCUCUAGUCCCACCAUCAGGGUGUCUUUACGGGAUCCUGGCAGGGAAAGAAUGUGACCAGGUAGGACACGCAGCAUGCACAAGGCUCCUUAAUGCA